UAUUAACAAUUUUAUUAAUUUGUAUUGUUAAAAAAUUAACGUGAUUGACGGGGUAACUAAAUAAUGACACGUGACAUGUCACGUAUAGCUCAUGCUGAUAUGCAAUGAACAAUUUAUAACCAUAGAAAUUGAUGAAAAUUUAAACA
Molecule: non-coding RNA, 146 nt
Organism: Gossypium raimondii (Peruvian cotton)
Lineage: Eukaryota; Viridiplantae; Streptophyta; Magnoliopsida; Malvales; Malvaceae
Source: Rfam